This 339-nucleotide ribosomal RNA is filed under the name Protyora sterculiae. Its description in RNAcentral is "partial 12S ribosomal RNA". The record is from RNAcentral. Lineage: Eukaryota; Metazoa; Arthropoda; Insecta; Hemiptera; Carsidaridae.
UUUUAAUGUAAAAAUUUUGAAGUAGUAUUAGGUAUGAUCUAUAAACUUAAGAGAUUUGGCAGUAUUUUAUCUUAUUAGAGGAACCUGUUUAUUAAUUUGAUAAUCCACGACUUAAAUCUACUUUUUUUUUUAAUUUACUUGUAUACCGUUGUCAUGAAUCUAAUAUGAAAAUUUAUUUUCUUUUUUUUUUAAUGAAAAGUAUGUUAAAUCAAGGUGCAGUUUAAAAAAGAUUUUUAUGGGUUACUUUUAUUAUUAUAUAUGAAUUUUUAAUUUUUAAGAUUUUAUGAAACUGGAUUUAAUAGUAAUUAUAUUAAAGUAAUAUUAUGAAUAAAGAUUCUA